Molecule: unclassified non-coding RNA, 2284 nt
Filed under: Rhagoletis pomonella (apple maggot)
Lineage: Eukaryota; Metazoa; Arthropoda; Insecta; Diptera; Tephritidae
Description: tetratricopeptide repeat protein 17-like, transcript variant X1
Source: RNAcentral
UAAAAAAAUAAUGUAUGUGUAGAGAUGUGAAGAGGACACAUUGUGAAGUUUUGCUUAAACCGACAUCGAUAUUUUUCAAAAACUAUCGAUAGUAUCCCAGCUCUACUGUAUAUACUGUGUUUAUGAAGCUUGGUAUCAUUGUCAUUUGUGAGGAUUAUUUUUUGGAGAAGGAACUGCAUCAUAAAAAAGGACAUGAUGCGGAUUGUUGUCUAUUUGACAAUAGUGGCUUUAUGUUGGCAAUUUGAAUUGACGAAUUCUCGUACUUCGACCUUAUGGAAAUUAAACGAAGACAGCGGCAAAAUAACGGGGCAUAUUUCCUCUAAUCUUGGCCAGGGGGAUAACACAUUGUUGGACGAAUUCAGCAUUCCAAUGUUUGAUGCUUCCGCUGAUGUCUAUGCUCAAGAUGAAGUAUUUUAUAUCAUCGCAUCUACUAUGGCACUGGGUACAAGCGCUGGAGCCGGUAUAACGGGUCCUGACACUGACAACGGUAUAGGAAAUGGGAGCAACAAUAGGGGUGCGGGUUAUGGCUGGGUACGAGAGUCGCCAGAAAAUUCUUUGGAAUCUCUAGGGACGGUAGCUAAACAUUGUAACGAAAGCGGCACUAUGACACAUGAGAGCAAAAAUGCAGAAGACGAAAGCAAUAGCAAAGCUGCAAUCGAGAACAGUGUGGGGCCGUCGAUUGUAACAAAUGUAGGCACUGCAUUGGUAGUGGAUGAAACCCUCGAUUGCAAGCCAGUAAAUUUCACCUAUUACGACUAUCUAAUUGGAGUGGGACAGCGAUUUAAUCAUCCGAAAAUACCAGAACCAGAGGUUGCAUACAUUUUUCUGAAAACGAAGGAUGAAAACUCUUACAAAAACUUUGACAUCACUGCACUGGAACGACGCCUUAAACGAGCCAAGCGUGAAAAGCCUAGAUCCGUACAAUUGUAUAACCAAAUCGGUAAUUACUGGCGCAUUAUAGGCGACGCACGGCAAGCUAUUGAGUGCUUUAGACGCGCUUUAGCAAUGUCGCCAACAAAUGCAGAAGUACUUCUGAAUUUAGCACGUGUACUUUACAAUCUACAAUAUCUUGAUGAUGCUAUACAUCUGACUAGAAGGUCAUUGGAGAUGCAACCACCUGGACGCUCUGCUUGGCAACAGUAUUUUACACUUGGAGAAAUAUUUAAAGCUUAUGGACAUUUCCAGGAAUCUAUUCUACACUUGCGGCACGCACUUGAACUUUACCCGCAGCACGAGCCCAUUCUGAAAGCAUUGCGAGACGUGGAGAAUAAUCCUUCAUCAACUUUGCAUGUCUACACAGUUCUCAUAAUUGUUGCCUUGUGAUAACCAGACAAACGGCCCUUACGCCUGGCGCACACGGUACUUUUUAACGCUGCUUUGCAUAGCUCGAGUGUAGUGGAAUGUAAGCGGCAACACAGUGUUAAAAACAGCUGACACGCCAGGCCCUACAUUAGGUUUGUUCUACACGGGCCCGCGGGUGCCCAAAUUAGCCCAGAGCGUUCCUCACGCAAGAAAAUGGGGAAUAGAGAGCGAAUACGUUCCACGUUUGGAUCGUAAAUAUCCUCUUCUUCGUGCCCGAAACUACCCGGACUUUUUUCCGGCUGUUGUUUGUUUACAUCCGAAAGCAAAUUCUAUAAUACAAAAAUGGAAAACACCACUAAAGUUUCAAAAAAUGUACAUAGAUUCUCCGAAAAUAGGUUCUUUCCCGAACAACCCGGACCGGAUCCGGUAAUUGGAGAAGAAGCGAAAAAUUUACUCUCAAAAAAUGGAACAAUGUCCAGAGGUACAGGAACGAAAAAAACCACAUUUCGUGCCCAGAAUUUGAGAAAUAACUGAUUCAAGUGGUUUUUGUUAUCGACACUUAAAUGCAAACACUUGAAUUGAAUUUAGGUUUCACAAAUUUGGUUGUUUUAAUAAAAAAGUAUAUAAAGAAUGAGAAUAUAUGUAAACACAGAACAGAUUAUAUGCCCGGAGAAAAAGUCUGUUUCGGGCAGGAAGAAGAAGGCACUUACGUUCCGAUACGGGAACCCGCGUUGCUUACGGGAAAGGACCUUAUAAAAAGUUCUUUCCCGUACAACCCGGACCGGAUCCGGUAAUUAGGGAAUAAUCAAAAAAUUUUCUCUCAAAAUUGGAACAAUGUCCAGAAGUAUGGGGACGGGAGAAACCAUAUUUCGCGCCAGGAAUUUGAGAAAUAGCUUAUUCAAGUGGUUUUUGUUAUCGACACUUACAGGUCUAUUCCGCGCUGGUAAUAAAAAGUUUGUAACCGGUAAAUAAAGUACCUGUC